UUGAUGAAAUGUUACAUUUUGCAACUAAUUAUCAAUCUGUUUUAUCUGUAGACCAGCUGGGCAUUUUUGUGCAUGCAAGACCGGCCUCCGCAAUGAUCUUAAGAUGUCACUGCGGCGUUUACAUCUUUUAUUUCAAGGUUUAAAUAACUGGGAAGUAGCUAAUGUAAUUCACUGCUGAGAAGAAAGGGAAGCUUCUUGAUUCCUUUCCAAAGCCAUCUCUUCCUAAUGAACUUCUUUGGACUGCACCAUCUCCAUGUGGAGCAGACAUAGGAGGUUGCUACUAGUCUUGGCACUGAGAGCCUAAAGCAUGCCUGACCAGCCCCUAUUCCAUCCUGAAUUGCUGCUCUAUUCUCUAGACUUAUUUACGACUGUCUCUGUGGGCCUGUAUGCUGCUGGAUGUUACAUCUUAUCAACUAUAGUCUGUGCAUAUUACUGUCAUCUGCUUGCACAUAGUUACAAGGGGGGAUGUGCUCUGCAAAUGGACCUAACCUGGGCUCUCCAUACAAAAGGAGAUGGUGUGGCAAGCUUCUGUGCUAUGUGUAGUGUUGGAAAGCACUGAUUGCCUUUCUUUCAACACCACAAGUCAAUGAUUCAUCCAAGAAACCAUAGACAGGUGGAUGCAAAGGUCAGCUUACAAGAUACCUUUUCUGGUGAUGGAGGUGUCUAUUGUCACCAGAUGUCUGUUAUUUGAAAUAAUAUGCUCACCCAUGCAGUGGGAUUUUGGAUUUCCUGCUGGGCCUACACCAGGUGCAAGGCUAUGAGAUAUGGUGACGGUGGUCCCAGAGAAGAGGCAGCCGGAAGACAGUUGAAUGCAGUGACUUUGAUGGUACUGUGGAGCAUCUGCUGGGAGAUGCUUGCAUCAGCAAGCAGCCAACUCUAGAUGGAGGCUCUGGUCAGGCUCCAUUUGGGAGGGUGAGUUUUGAGAUGUGGUCCCCUGGCUUCUUGUGAAUUAGGUCUGACUUUUAACUCAUUCCACCUAUCUCGCAGUGGUUUUAUGGGAGUUAAUUAGGGAAAAGGCUCCUUGGGGAAUAGGGCCAACGCAAACACAUACUACCUGCCUUCUCUCAAAUAACUCAAAGACCCUAUGACAAACAGGCUAGCUGGUUUACCUUUUCAGACUUCAGAGGCCAAAGACCAGCUCAGGGAGUUUGCUUCAUGAAACAAACACAUUUUGUGUCAUCAAGAUCCACAGUGCAUUUUAUGGUGGCAGUCCAUCAGUACCUUUUCAGUGGGGCUGGUGGGAGAGUUGAACAUCUUAAGCUCAUUUUCCCAGGCUUCCAGUCUUCGUGCUUCAACAAACACUUUGCAAGACAAUUGCCUGUGGAGCCACUGACUUCAGCCAGGAAUCCCACACUUCCCAAGGAAGCUUGCUGCCCUGGAAAGUCUGUUGGCUCUGAGGCUUGAUUCUGGAUAAAGAGGCCUGCUUUGUAUUCUACUGUCCUGUCAGGAGUGCCUACUAGGCAUAGACAUGGACCAGGCACCAGAAUGGUGGUGAAUGACAGUCACCUUCCUUCGUUUGCCCAGGCUGUCCUGUGUUCACAAUGGAGUCUAGGCUGUGAACUUACUGCUGUCCUCAGCCUCCCAAGAGCUGUAAUUACAGAUGUGAAUCACCACACCUAGGAGUACUUAAAAAAAUUCCUUCCUCCAGCUACUGAGUCUUUCAUGCUAUUCCCUGGUUCAAGGCAGCACUUCUCUGGGAAAAUCUAUUCAUUCAAAAAACAA
Molecule: long non-coding RNA, 1722 nt
Organism: Onychomys torridus (southern grasshopper mouse)
Lineage: Eukaryota; Metazoa; Chordata; Mammalia; Rodentia; Cricetidae
Exons: 4
Source: RefSeq, a predicted model, not a curated record